Molecule: transfer RNA, 60 nt
Filed under: Proasellus granadensis
Lineage: Eukaryota; Metazoa; Arthropoda; Malacostraca; Isopoda; Asellidae
Description: transfert RNA-P(CCA)
Source: RNAcentral
CAGAAAAUAGUUUAUGUAAAAUAAUAGUUUUGGAGGCUGUAGAAGUCUUGACUUUUCUGA